AUGAGAUCAUUAUCUACCAUGCAGGAAAACUUAAAGAAGUGGAGCUAUGAGUCCUUUGGCUCUGUUCGUGGUCGGUUAAAAGAUUUGAGAAAGCAAUUGGAGGAAGUGAGGGACAGGAACUGGAGAAGAGGACUAACAAAACAAGAGAACAGUUUUUUUAACCAAAUUUCGGAGUUAAUGGCUAGAGUAGAAAUUAUGAUACGCCAGAGAUCAAGAGUACAAUGGCUAGUGGAAGAAGAUCGUAACACAGCCUUUUUUUCACUCAAAAUGCAGAGAAAGAGCAAGACAAAACAGAAUAAUUUCUCCACAACGAGAGGAUGGAAGGAUAUGUUAUCAACAGGGAGAAAUUGA
RNAcentral lists this ribosomal RNA (351 nucleotides) under Triticum aestivum (bread wheat). RNAcentral describes it as "partial small subunit ribosomal RNA". The record is from RNAcentral. Lineage: Eukaryota; Viridiplantae; Streptophyta; Magnoliopsida; Poales; Poaceae.